RNAcentral lists this transfer RNA (68 nucleotides) under Marmota monax (woodchuck). RNAcentral describes it as "tRNA.Ala". The stretch from base 5 to 65 matches the Rfam family "tRNA", at positions 6 to 65 of the family's 71-position model. From Rfam's summary of the family: Transfer RNA (tRNA) molecules are approximately 80 nucleotides in length. Their secondary structure includes four short double-helical elements and three loops (D, anti-codon, and T loops). Further hydrogen bonds mediate the characteristic L-shaped molecular structure. tRNAs have two regions of fundamental functional importance: the anti-codon, which is responsible for specific mRNA codon recognition, and the 3' end, to which the tRNAs corresponding amino acid is attached (by aminoacyl-tRNA synthetases). tRNAs cope with the degeneracy of the genetic code in two manners: having more than one tRNA (with a specific anti-codon) for a particular amino acid; and 'wobble' base-pairing, i.e. permitting non-standard base-pairing at the 3rd anti-codon position. The record is from RNAcentral. Lineage: Eukaryota; Metazoa; Chordata; Mammalia; Rodentia; Sciuridae.
GGAUUGUUGCUCAGUGGUAGAGUGCUCACCUUGCAUGUGUGAGGCCCUGGGUUCAAUCCUCAGCACCA